Acanthaster planci (crown-of-thorns starfish) is the source of this 1415-nucleotide long non-coding RNA. NCBI's taxonomy places the organism in Eukaryota, Metazoa, Echinodermata, Asteroidea, Valvatida, Acanthasteridae. The record is from RefSeq and is a predicted model, not a curated record.
CACAAGUACGGUUUGGUGUGCAUGGAAAGUAAGGUGUGUGGUCCUUUUUAAUUCGGGACUGAAAUGCACACUUUCAUGGUCUCUUUGCUAAGUCCAUAAGAAAGAACCAAUGAAUCAAUGAGAGGCAUGUUACUCGACGAUCUGGCCUUUUCUUCACGUUCAACAGCACAAAAAAGGACACACUGAAAGAGAGUGGUGGUUCUUUGGAAAGGAAGCAACGGGAACAAUUCCGAAAGAAGCGUUAUCACACAGGAAACAAAGCAUUGCCUCCAUCCGAUUGUUCACGGGGACUGACAACUUAUUCUGGUUUCCUUUCUCGCGCUAAAUUGUGACGCAAGUAAUUGUAGAUCGGUUAUUUUUUUUCCUAACUGCACAAACAGCGAGAAACCUUGAUAUCUCUUUCCUGUUACUGAAGUAGCAUCGACAACCCUCACAAGUGUUGAUGUUGAAGAAAGGUACAGACGGAAUUACAGUGUCUCUGACGCCGGGUCGCCUCCGUGACUAAAUGAGUCUAUACUGGAUUGGACUGGCACAUUUUCUUGCCAGCCUCGUGGAGGGACGCGUCUGCCGGCAACGACUCGGAAUGGAGGACGGUAGCAUUCCCGAUUCCAGAAUCACAGCCUCAAGUGUCUACCACAAUUAAAUCAACGCACCCGGCAACUGCAGGGCCGCAAACGGCCGGCUGAACAACCCAGGAGGCGGCGGGAUAGCUGACGGUUGGUGUCCGGCCCGGACUGACAAGUAUACGUCAUGGUUGGGGGUCGAUUUGGGAGAGCAACUGCAGGUGGAAGGGGUCAUCAUACAGGGCAGCGCAAUGCCUUUCUACAUUGGAUUGGACGAGUGACCCGAUUCAGAGUGCAGUACAGUGAUGACGGGAUUGAUUGGCUGUAUGUGACCCGUAGUGAAGAUCCUGGGAGUGUGCCGAAGACAUUUGAAGGCAGCGAAGACAUACCCACACCUGUUACCACCAUUUUUGACAGGCCGAUUCAAGCUCGUUACAUCCGCGUCAGACCAACCCAGUACUACACAUACCCAACGAUGCGGAUUGAGCUCAUCGGCUGCAGAGGCAAGGACGAUUCUUAUUCUGUAGAUUGUCUUUCAAUAACGUCAUACUAGAUCGCUUUUUGUCUGGGUUCUUACCGCUUCGUGGUAAAACGAAGUCCGUUCUAUAAAAUUUCAAGCAUUUCGAAGAGAUCAUUGAAUUGCUGAAUUUGGAGUAGGCCAAGUUUGUAGAUUGGGCUGGUGUUCAUGGCUGGUGUCUGACUUUCCACGUAGGCCUCUGUGGGACACAAAAUCACGGCCGACAAUAUAUUGGUCUAAUAGCAACUUGCCUGACGUGGUGUACCCCGCAGGGGGAGGGUGGCGUUGGAAGGCAAGUAAUGUUUGGAUUUAAUUUUUCCUGUUAUCUUUGAAUG